This 497-nucleotide ribosomal RNA is filed under the name uncultured bacterium. RNAcentral describes it as "partial 16S ribosomal RNA". It matches the Rfam family "Bacterial small subunit ribosomal RNA", at positions 28 to 507 of the family's 1533-position model. The record is from RNAcentral.
GACGAACGCUGGCGGCGUGCCUAAUACAUGCAAGUUGAGCGCUGAAGGUUGGGACUUGUUCCAACUGGAUGAGCAGCGAACGGGUGAGUAAUGCGUGGGGAAUCUGCCUUUGAGCGGGGGACAACAUUUGGAAACGAAUGCUAAUACCGCAUAAAAACUUUAAACACAAGGUUUAAGAUUGAAAGAUGCAAUUGCAUCACUCAAAGAUGAUCCCGAGGUGUAUUAGGUAGUUGGUGAGGUAAAGGCCCACCAAGGCGAAGAUACAUAGCCGACCUGAAAGGGUGGACCGCCACAAUGGGACUGGGACACGGCCCCAAAUCCUUACGGGGGCAGCAGUAGGGGAACUUCGGACAUGGGCGAAAGUCUGACCGCAGCACGGCGCGGGGGUGGAGGAGGUUUUCGGAUCGUAAAACUCUGUUGGUAGAGGAGGAAGUUGGUGAGAGUGAAAAGCUCAUCUAGUGACGGUAACUACCCAGAAAGCAACGGCUAACUACGUG